Molecule: ribosomal RNA, 558 nt
Filed under: Hansenula anomala
Lineage: Eukaryota; Fungi; Ascomycota; Saccharomycetes; Phaffomycetales; Wickerhamomycetaceae
Description: eukaryotic LSU rRNA
Rfam family: Eukaryotic large subunit ribosomal RNA
Source: RNAcentral
AGCGGAGGAAAAGAAACCAACAGGGAUUGCCUCAGUAACGGCGAGUGAAGCGGCAAAAGCUCAAAUUUGAAAUCUAGCACCUUCGGUGUUCGAGUUGUAAUUUGAAGAUGGUAACCUUGGGUUUGGCUCUUGUCUAUGUUCCUUGGAACAGGACGUCAUAGAGGGUGAGAAUCCCGUCUGAUGAGAUGCCCAUUCCUAUGUAAGGUGCUAUCGAAGAGUCGAGUUGUUUGGGAAUGCAGCUCUAAGUGGGUGGUAAAUUCCAUCUAAAGCUAAAUAUUGGCGAGAGACCGAUAGCGAACAAGUACAGUGAUGGAAAGAUGAAAAGAACUUUGAAAAGAGAGUGAAAAAGUACGUGAAAUUGUUGAAAGGGAAGGGCAUUAGAUCAGACUUGGUGUUUUACGAUUAUCUUCUCUUCUUGAGUUGUGCACUCGUAUUUCACUGGGCCAGCAUCGAUUCGGAUGGCAAGAUAAUGGCAGUUGAAUGUGGCUUCACUUCGGUGGAGUGUUAUAGCUUCUGCUGAUAUUGCCUGUCUGGAUCGAGGGCUGCGUCUUUGACUAG